Long non-coding RNA from Myotis davidii, 384 nucleotides. RefSeq lists it as uncharacterized. NCBI's taxonomy places the organism in Eukaryota, Metazoa, Chordata, Mammalia, Chiroptera, Vespertilionidae. The transcript has 3 exons. The record is from RefSeq and is a predicted model, not a curated record.
CUCCUGCCUUAUUAGGAAUGUCCCUACAAUUUAAUUGAUCACUGCAAGCUGGACAUUGGUCCAAGAUAAGCAGAUGCUGUCAUGUUAUUGAAGACUAGGUCACUAAGAUGUAUCCUGAAAAAUGAAGAUGGAGCAAUGGAGUCAUGAGCCAAGGAGUAUGGACCGCCUCUAGAUGCUAGGAAGGGCAAGAAAAUGCAUCAUUCCCUAGAACCUUGAGAAGGAAUUCAGCCCAUGCUGACACACUGAGUUUAGGACUUUUGAUCUCCAGAAUUAUAAGGCCUUGUUAUCUUAGAUACCUACAAAAGGAGUGCUUAUGGAAUUACCAGGCUAUUCUAAAGAAAAACAGAAAAAACAUGGCCAUUUGAUGGCAGCCCGUUUCACAUG